RNAcentral lists this ribosomal RNA (465 nucleotides) under uncultured bacterium. RNAcentral describes it as "partial 16S ribosomal RNA". It matches the Rfam family "Bacterial small subunit ribosomal RNA", at positions 28 to 507 of the family's 1533-position model. The record is from RNAcentral.
GACGAACGCUGGCGGCGUGCUUAACACAUGCAAGUCGAACGGAAAGGCCCUGCUUGCAGGGUACUCGAGUGUCGAACGGGUGAGUAACACGCGGGUGAUCUGCCCUGCACUUCGGGAUAAGCCUUGGGAACUGUGUCUAAUACCGGAUAGGAGCCAUUUUUAGUGUGAUGGUUGGAAAGUUUUUUCGGUGUAGGAUGAGCUCGCGGCCUAUCUGCUUGCUGGUGGGGUAAUGGGCUACCAAGGCGGCUGCGGGUAGCCGGCCUGGGGGGGUGGACGGCCACAAUGGGGCUGAGAAACGGGCCAGGCUCCUACGGGGGGGAACAGUGGGGAAUAAUGCACAAUGGGCGCGAGCCUGAUGCAGCGACGCCGCGGGGGGGAAGACGGCCUUCGGGUUGUAAACUCGUUUCGGUAGGGACGAAGCUUUUUGUGACGGUACCUAGAUAAGAAGCACCGGCUAACUACGUG